GACGGAGGGUGCAAGCGUUACUCGGACUCACUGGGCGUAAAGAGCACGUAGGCGGCUUUGUAAGUCUGAUGUGAAAGCCCACGACUCAAUCGUGGAAGUGCAUUGGAUACUGCAUAGCUAGAGUGCAGGAGGGGUAAGCGGAAUUCCAGGUGUAGAGGUGAAAUUCGUAGAUAUCUGGAGGAACAACGGUGGCGAAGGCGGCUUACUGGACUGUUACUGACGCUGAGGUGAGAAAGUGUGGGGAGCGAACAGG
RNAcentral lists this ribosomal RNA (253 nucleotides) under uncultured bacterium. RNAcentral describes it as "partial 16S ribosomal RNA". It matches the Rfam family "Bacterial small subunit ribosomal RNA", at positions 524 to 776 of the family's 1533-position model. The record is from RNAcentral.